UACGUAGGGGGCAAGCGUUGUCCGGAAUCAUUGGGCGUAAAGCGCGUGUAGGCGGCCCACUAAGUCCGCUCUGAAAGCCCGGGGCUCAACCCCGGGAGGCGGGUGGAUACUGGUGGGCUCGAGUCCGGAAGAGGUCAGUGGAAUUCCCGGUGUAGCGGUGAAAUGCGCAGAUAUCGGGAGGAACACCAAUGGCGAAGGCAGCACUCUGGGACGUGACUGACGCUGAGACGCGAAAGCGUGGGGAGCAAACAGG
Molecule: ribosomal RNA, 253 nt
Filed under: uncultured bacterium
Lineage: Bacteria
Description: partial 16S ribosomal RNA
Rfam family: Bacterial small subunit ribosomal RNA
Source: RNAcentral